UUUCAUCACAGCAAAGUGUCGCUGUGAUUAAAGAAAAUGUGAGUCAUUUUCUGAAUGGAAAGUUGUAUAAAGUUUUCCGUUUGAAGCAUGGCAUACCUGAAGAAUUCGCUAAUUCAGUGAAGUCCGCAAUGAAGUGCAAUGAGCAGUAUGAUCUCUAUAGAAAUAACUCUCUGCAUUUUGCACUGAGGCUGCUGAAGCUACAAGCUAAACCUCUUCCAGAAAGGAAUACUUCAAGUGGCUCUAAAGUCACCAAAGCCUCUGGAUUAUAAAUACAAAACGAUGUUGAAAUGGCAUGAAUGGAUGAUGAAGAGGGGCAAUCUUUGUUAAAGAAAUCUUGACGUCAUUUGAAAAUGUUAAACAUUUAAAUGCAGUUAUAAUUGGUUAUCUAGAACUUAUAAUUACUCCUCUUUUUCACUGGCCAGUGUGUGGUAUGUUGUAUAAAAACACAAAUUCUGCAAUUAACUAAUUUUGUAGAGCAUGCAGUAUAAAAUGUGCCAUGUACUAUCUACUUAAUUAACAAUAUUAAAGGUAAUACUUGUCAGUA
Molecule: long non-coding RNA, 544 nt
Organism: Puntigrus tetrazona (Sumatra barb)
Lineage: Eukaryota; Metazoa; Chordata; Actinopteri; Cypriniformes; Cyprinidae
Exons: 4
Source: RefSeq, a predicted model, not a curated record